This 137-nucleotide ribosomal RNA is filed under the name uncultured bacterium. RNAcentral's name for it is "partial 16S ribosomal RNA". It matches the Rfam family "Bacterial small subunit ribosomal RNA", at positions 355 to 509 of the family's 1533-position model. The record is from RNAcentral.
UGGGGGAUAUUGCACAAUGGGGGGAACCCUGAUGCAGCGACGCCGCGUGGGUGAAGAAGCGCCUCGGCGCGUAAAGCCCCGUCAGCAGGGAAGAAAAUGACGGUACCUGAAGAAGAAGCCCCGGCUAACUACGUGCC